This 390-nucleotide ribosomal RNA is filed under the name uncultured Methanomicrobiales archaeon. Its description in RNAcentral is "bacterial SSU rRNA". It matches the Rfam family "Archaeal small subunit ribosomal RNA", at positions 948 to 1338 of the family's 1478-position model. Lineage: Archaea; Methanobacteriati; Methanobacteriota; Methanomicrobia; Methanomicrobiales. The record is from RNAcentral.
UGAAGGCCAGGCUGAAGACUUUGUCCGGAUUAGCUGAGAGGUGGUGCAUGGCCGUCGUCAGUCGUACUGUGAAGCAUCCUGUUAAGUCAGGCAACGAGCGAGACCCACGCCAACAGUUGCCAGCUCGUCCUCCGGGAUGUGGGGACACUGUUGGGACCGCCUCUGCUAAAGAGGAGGAAGGAAUGGGCAACGGUAGGUCAGCAUGCCCCGAAUUAUCUGGGCUACACGCGGGCUACAAUGGGUGGGACAAUGGGUAUCGACACCGAAAGGUGAAGGCAAUCUCCUAAACCCAUCCGUAGUUCGGAUUGUGGGCUGCAACUCGCCCACAUGAAGCUGGAAUCUGUAGUAAUCGUGUCUCAAAAUGGCACGGUGAAUAUGUCCCUGCUCCUU